This 463-nucleotide long non-coding RNA is filed under the name Gossypium barbadense (sea-island cotton). RNAcentral's name for it is "long non-coding RNA (GBAR_LNC014262)". The record is from RNAcentral. Lineage: Eukaryota; Viridiplantae; Streptophyta; Magnoliopsida; Malvales; Malvaceae.
CAAGUCUAGUUCUCGCUCUCAUUCCGUGUCCCGCUCCAAAUCUGCUUCCCCAUCUAGCUAUCAUUCUCGCUCUAGAUCAUUCUCCCCUUCUCUCCUUCUCGUAGUGGUAGCUCUCGAAAUCAUAGUCCUCUUCAAUGUUGAAGGUUACUCCCUCCAUAGAUUUUAUGAUUUUUUAUGAAAUUUUCAUAUCUGAAUUUUUAAAGAUAUAACUCUAGUUGAAAGGCACCUAAAUGGUGAGGUAUGUUUUGUUCCAGUUAUCUAUAUGAAUCCUUAAAUUGGGAUUUUUCCAGAUCUGAGUAAACAGUAAUUUCGUGUUUGUGAUGAACAAUAGUUGAAAUCCAUGAUUUCGAAUAUGAUGUUUAUUACAUUUCAAUUUGUUAGUUGUUUUUUAAGAUAUGAUUUUUUUAAGAUCUGUAUAUAUUCGAGAUAUAGGUACUUAAAGUUAGUAAAUGAAUGAUCUACA